GACGGAGGGUGCUAGCGUUGUUCGGAAUUACUGGGCGUAAAGGGCGCGUAGGCGGCUUCGGCAGUCGGGUGUGAAAGUCCAGGGCUCAACCCUGGGAUGCCGGUGGAUACUGUCGAGCUCGAGUCCGGAAGAGGCGAGUGGAAUUCCUGGUGUAGCGGUGAAAUGCGCAGAUAUCAGGAGGAACACCAAUGGCGAAGGCAGCUCGCUGGGACGUGACUGACGCUGAGACGCGAAAGCGUGGGGAGCAAACAGG
Molecule: ribosomal RNA, 253 nt
Filed under: uncultured bacterium
Lineage: Bacteria
Description: partial 16S ribosomal RNA
Rfam family: Bacterial small subunit ribosomal RNA
Source: RNAcentral